Molecule: non-coding RNA, 1145 nt
Organism: Neopelma chrysocephalum (saffron-crested tyrant-manakin)
Lineage: Eukaryota; Metazoa; Chordata; Aves; Passeriformes; Pipridae
Source: the annotation of a RefSeq genome assembly
CUUCACUCCACGAUACAUAGCUGCUCUCACUUGCAACCUUUUCUCAGUUGCUCUGACUCGAGUUUUAUAGGGCCACCAUCCUUGGAUUUACCAAUGUUUUUCAUAUUUACUUGGAAAGCAGACAGGACUACAGCCUUUUAACCAAUUUUAGCAUGUGGCAGCCUGGAGAGGGUUUUCUGCAAAGGCACCCAUCCUCUUGCACACAGAAGACCCAUUGCUGAAGACCAUUCUAAAGAGUCACCUCCUCCUUCCACACAACACAGUCCCUCCCCAUCUGGCAUCCCUUUCACUCUCUUCUCAGUCUCAACAAGAGCAGAGUGUGGCAAGCAAACAUGCUACUGCUGGUAGUGCUUGUUGCCACAGCCACUUGGUCUUAUGGAUUUGCACAGGAAAUUCCCGUGCAGAGUCCUAUAUCCAUCACCAAGUUCCAAAAAAGUGCACGAAUGACAUGUGAAAUUCAAACAUUAGGGGCAAAUUUUGAUAGUGCUGUCAUACACUGGUAUCUGCAGAAGGAGGGUGAAGCUCCAAAGAGGCUCUUGUUCCUUUCAGGAGGAAAACCUACCAUUGAAACUGGCUUUCAAGCAAGCAGAUAUAUGGUUGAAAGAAUUUCUGGUCAGAGACGGUGUGUUCUUACAAUAAAAGAUGUCAUUCCAACUGAUGCUGCUACUUACUACUGUGCCUACUGGGAUCCUCACUGUGAUAGAAACUCAAAGAUCAUCAAGGCAAAAAAACACCUGCAACAUCUGAACCACAAGGUUGUAACUGUCCCAUUCCACCAGUCUUCUCACUCCAUCCGAUGUGAGCUGCUGAAAGGCCAAACCUUUUUCUGCUUCCCAAAGAGAGCAGCUAACCCUGCACAACUGUUCUUUUCAAAGUCUGGGGCAUCAUUAGGACUCCUGUCUUCAACACACAUCCACUGUUUUAAGGACAAAGGAAAUCAUCACUGCCUUAGGACCUAGCAUAUAAAUGCUGGACACUCUCCUGCUCCUUUGGUGCUGUUUGCACGCCAUGGCAGAAGUCUGGUGGCCUUUAGGGGAGCAAACAGAGAAACAUUGUUCUUCUAGUCCAGCCACUGUUCUCCCCUAGGAAAGAGAAGGCAUCAAAAGCAAGACAACAUGCUGAAGGAAGUACUACUUUGGUGGAUG